Molecule: long non-coding RNA, 1064 nt
Organism: Homo sapiens (human)
Lineage: Eukaryota; Metazoa; Chordata; Mammalia; Primates; Hominidae
Gene: HRAT17
Product: heart tissue-associated transcript 17
Source: Ensembl
GAGGAGAUAAGUGACAUAAACUGGCAUGUUCUGAAAGAAUCACUCUGGAUGCUGUGUGGAGAAAACACUGAAAAGAAUUCUAGAGUGAAAGUUUCAUGAAUAUAAGAAGCAAGACAAGGAAGUGGCUUAUGCUUAAGGCCUUAAAGGCAACCACUGUGACAAUCCAGCCAUUCUCUGGAGAAUUCAGCAGAAAGCCAGUUGGAAGUAAUGUUUUCUGUUUGUUUUUCUCUUUUUUGCCCUCCUGGCUAUAAUGAGAAACCCAAGAAAAUAAGUCUUUCCAUUGCAGGACAGCUAAAUUGCACAAGCAUUCAAAUUUCUCCCCUUUGACUCAUACUCUGUCAUCUCUAUUUUGGCUUCCACUUUUGGAGAAGGUCUCCACCCCCUACCCCGGCCCUCUCCUCACUGCCCCAUGCUUUGAGUGCAAACACUCCAGAUUUUCAACCUUCUCCCCUCCAUUUCCCACUUCUCUUUCCCAAGAAUCGAAGCUUUUUCUGUAAUAAAUCUCUAAAUCAACUAAACUGCUAUACAGAUUUACAUUAGGUUUUGAUUGUUGAUUAUGGCUUAUUCCAAAAAUAAUUUCCAUUUUAGAAAAGCAUUCAAUGCCCAAACACAAAAGUAUUCAUAAACUUAAGGUAAGAAUUUCAGGCACUGUAUUUUAUCCACUAGAUUAAGGAACCAAGCAGUCCUUUUUGCCUUUCAAAUCAUUCUAAGUAAUCAGCUGCUUGUUCUGCUAUAUAAAGAACUAUCUCUGCUCUUUGUACUAUCUCUGCUCUUUAAACUCAUGCAGUUAUUCAUUCAAUAACUACUUACUAAGCCUGAGCCACAUACAGAGUACUGGCCUGGCAACUGUCAACAUUUCUUCAACAGCCCAGCAGGCAGCUUUUCCUACCUCUCACUAAAAUACCAAUAAAAACACAGAAGAACGGAGCUCACUGCAGCACUGACAAUCAAGAUGGAAGCCAGCCUACCUCUGGCUGUGGGAAAGAUUGAUGAUUCUAAAGCAGAGAGAGACAUCUUCUCAGAUAUAAGCACAUAGCAUUUCCCACCUUCAAUCUACAAAAAAA